AUGUUACUCAAGAUCUGUCUUGAUCAUAUGAUAAAUAAAUAUUUUUCAGAACCGCUUGUCCCAUACAGGGUCGCGGGGAACCGGAGCCUACCCGGCAACACAGGGCAUAAGGCCGGAGGGGGAGGGGACACACCCAGGAUGGGACGCCAGUCCAUCACAAGGCACCCCAAGUGGGACUCAAACCCCAGACCCACCAGAAAGCAGGACUGUGGUCCAACCCACUGCGCCACCACCGGCAGGAAUUUUGCAUGUGGACUAUAUAAGAUGUCUUUCUGCCACAAGAAGAGACUUACUGAGAGAGGAGCUGAAGAACGCUGUGUCCGAUUUUCCUGGAUGAACUGUAGCACAGUCCAGAAGUCCAGAAAGGGGAGGGCCGACUCUCUCGGUCUGUUUCACUCGGCUCGCGGUGAACCGGAGCCUAACCUGGCAACACAGGGCGCAGGGCUGGAGGAGGAGAGGACACACCCAGGACGGGAUGCCAGGCCAUUGCAAGGCAUCCCAAGCAGGACUGAAACCUCAGCCAAACCCGCUGUGCUGCUGUGCCCCCCCGCCCAGUUUGAACACCGAAUUUGAAAUUUUUGAUUACUAUUAACGUCACACACAGAGUUGGUAUGGGAUUCUUAUAAACCUCUCUUUCUGACCUUAAUAAGAUGUCAGGAACAUUUGUUAAAUGUGGAACCACUAAAAGUUUUACUUAUACAGUGUAACUGACAGAUGGAGUAUUAAAUAUAAUGAAAAUAGAUAUUUCAAAACUGUUUAUGAACUCUGCUAUCAAAGUGUUAGUAGCUCCUUAAGUCUCCCUUCCUCGUUCCCGCUUGCCUGUCUCCUUGUUCCUGUAUCCUGUCUCCCAUGGUCCUGACCAUCGCAUGUCCCUUCGAUCGUGUCUCUGAAUCACCCUUGGUACUCUUGCCUGCCCCAACCACAAGAUUUGCCUUGCCCUUUCAACAACUGUAUGAACGAUCCCACACCUGUGUCCACUCUCCAGUUCUCCAAUGCGCCAGCAUCACAUACAUACUUUUGUGUAUGUGUGUCCCCCAGUAUUUAAUAGUUAGACAAGCUUUAUGAACUGUUUAUCACCAAUAACAAAGCAGCUCUGUUUGAUCUGGAGAAACAGCAGUCAGAAAAGUUUGUGAACCCCUUGAAAUUAUCUGCAUUUCUAUAUAAAAAGCUCAGAAACUGUGGUCUGAUCUUCAUCUAAGUCAUAAUAAACAGUCUUAUUUAACAAACA
Molecule: long non-coding RNA, 1228 nt
Filed under: Scleropages formosus (Asian bonytongue)
Lineage: Eukaryota; Metazoa; Chordata; Actinopteri; Osteoglossiformes; Osteoglossidae
Description: lncRNA (ENSSFOG00015030078.1)
Source: RNAcentral